Molecule: transfer RNA, 84 nt
Filed under: Bacillus phage Bp8p-C
Lineage: Duplodnaviria; Heunggongvirae; Uroviricota; Caudoviricetes; Herelleviridae
Rfam family: tRNA
About the family: Transfer RNA (tRNA) molecules are approximately 80 nucleotides in length.
Source: Rfam by way of RNAcentral
GGGAUAGCGCUAACGUUGGAGAGUUAGGCGAGACUGUAAAUCUCGUGUCGGAUCACUGAGUGGGUUCGAAUCCCACCUGUCCCA